Molecule: unclassified non-coding RNA, 378 nt
Filed under: plant metagenome
Description: partial contains 5.8S ribosomal RNA, internal transcribed spacer 2, and large subunit ribosomal RNA
Rfam family: 5.8S ribosomal RNA (bases 1-105)
Source: RNAcentral
GAAAUGCGAUAAGUAAUGUGAAUUGCAGAAUUCAGUGAAUCAUCGAAUCUUUGAACGCACCUUGCGCUCCUUGGUAUUCCUUGGAGCAUGCCUGUUUGAGUAUCAUGAAAUCUUCAAAGUAAAUCUUUUGGUAACUCAAUUGGUUUCUACUUUGGUAUUGGAGGUCUUUGCAGCUUCACACCUGCUCCUCUUUGUUCAUUAGCUGGAUCUCAGUGUUAUGCUUGGUUCCACUCGGCGUGAUAAGUUAUCUAUCGCUGAGGACACUGUAAAAGGUGGCCAAGGUAAAUGCAGAUGAACCGCUUCUAAUAGUCCAUUGACUUGGACAAUACUUUUAUGAUCUGAUCUCAAAUCAGGUAGGACUACCCGCUGAACUUAAGC